Molecule: ribosomal RNA, 224 nt
Filed under: Strongylocentrotus purpuratus (purple sea urchin)
Lineage: Eukaryota; Metazoa; Echinodermata; Echinoidea; Camarodonta; Strongylocentrotidae
Description: partial ribosomal RNA
Rfam family: Bacterial large subunit ribosomal RNA
Source: RNAcentral
AAGCUUUGGUUGGGGCAACGCGGAGUAAGAAGACCCUCCGCUAAUAAGAUAUUACUAUAAAAAGAAUUACGGUUCUACAAUCAAAAUGAAAGAAUGAUCCACUAAGGUGAUCAAAGAAACAAGUUACCGCAGGAUAACAGCGUUAUCUUUUCUGAGAGUUCACAUUGACGAAAAGGUUUGCGACCUCGAUGUUGGAUCGGGACAUCCUAAGGGUGCAGAAGCUU